Molecule: ribosomal RNA, 253 nt
Filed under: uncultured bacterium
Lineage: Bacteria
Description: partial 16S ribosomal RNA
Rfam family: Bacterial small subunit ribosomal RNA
Source: RNAcentral
UACGUAGGUGACAAGCGUUGUCCGGAUUUACUGGGCGUAAAGAGCGCGCAGGCGGUCGGUCAAGUCGAGUGUGAAAGCCCCCGGCUCAACUGGGGAGGGUCAUUCGAUACUGAUCGACUCGAAGGCAGGAGAGGGUAGUGGAAUUCCCGGUGUAGUGGUGAAAUGCGUAGAUAUCGGGAGGAACACCAGUGGCGAAGGCGACUACCUGGCCUGUUCUUGACGCUGAGGCGCGAAAGCCAGGGGAGCAAACGGG